RNAcentral lists this long non-coding RNA (3281 nucleotides) under Nothobranchius furzeri (turquoise killifish). Its description in RNAcentral is "lncRNA (ENSNFUG00015005886.1)". The record is from RNAcentral. Lineage: Eukaryota; Metazoa; Chordata; Actinopteri; Cyprinodontiformes; Nothobranchiidae.
AUGAACCGGCCCACCAGAAAAGGCCUGAGAAACUCGCUGUUUGCUUUCACCUCAACCCUUCAUUCUUCCUAUCAUUUCUUUGUUGAUCUUCUCAGCAUCUCUCCAUCACAGCAGUUGUUCUCCCUCCAUUUCUUCCAGGAGCAGUGUUUGAGGAGGCGUGUCCAGGAAACAGUGGCCAUCGCGCUGGCUUCCUGUGUGACAGGAUCACAAAAGCAUCCCUCGGUGCAGACUCCUCUUGGUGCUGGAUGCACAAGAAACCACUCAGGGGUUGUGGGAUGUUCCCAACAUGCACCUGUGGAAAAAAAACCCACCCCACAAGCUUGGUGUCAUAAUGAACGGUCUGCCUCGGAGAUGCGGAGAGGAGGAAACCCUGCAGAUCAGAGACAGAGGAAGAGAUGCUCUCCUGGUGAUGAGGAAGGGAAUGUAACGUGUGGUGAGGCAGGGUGUCUGCACUGCGGUUUCACCCCUGCAAACCUCUCAUCCAUUGUUCAAGACUAUCAUCAGCUGUUCAAUUAUUCAGAUGAUAUUUACCAGGGCCAAUUAUACAGGGCUGUGUCCUGCAGAGAAAAUGGCGAGAGUGUUUUACUGUUGCACUUACAUCCAGAUGGAGAAGUUUGCUGCCGAGGCUGUUCAAGUGGGGGGGCGAGGAAACCUUUAGCUGUUUCUUCUUAUUCCAACAUUUCAAAUUUGUUACCAUGAUGCACUUUGUCUGACUCACACACACUGACACACACACGCUGCACUCAGCAGAGAGGAUUCACUUCUCUAAUAUUUCCAUCUUUUCUACAGAAGCAAUGACACAAGAGGUGAAAAGGCUAUUCUGAAGCAGUUCAGAGUGAAAACAGCGUUUAUCCUCUCACACCCAGCACCUCUGUGCUCUGUGGACUGACGCUAAAAUCACAGAGAUUUGGUGUCACCACUUUGUCUCGACAUCUCUUUGAUGUGCAGCUCAGAGUGCAGGAGCAAACAACUCAUGGCCCCUCCUUUGUCUCCCUCUUUCAGCUUUCAGACUUUACUAAAUAAACUUAUAACAAAAACAGAUAAAAUAAGUAUUUAUUAAAAAUGCCUCCUUAUUUAGGUUUACUUCUGUUUCAAGGUAAAAAGACAAACACUCUAUUCUUUUAUGGGGAAAAAAGUGAUAUUUGACUCCAGAGAUCAUGUUUUUGUGUUCAACAUAAUAAAUUAUGUGGAAAAAUAUGAACUUCUUUAACAAAAACAUGAUUUUUUAAAAAAAGAAACUGCUUUUAAAAAUGUAUAUUUUUACAGCACCUGUAAUUUACAUAUUAUCAAUAAAAAAAUUGGAAUAUGGAGGAUUAAACCUGACUAUUAUAAUAAAUAAAAUAAUAUAAACAAACGUGUCUCCUUUCAGUUGUGUUUGUAGAUUUUUACUUACUUUGUGAAGGUCAAGCUGAGGAAACGAGCUGAUAAUCCACACCAACAGCUUGUUAACUGCUGUUUAUAUCGUCUCAAUCCUCAUCAUUUGGAGGGGAAAGGGGAUAAAGCCUUUGUUCUGUUAUUCCUUUUUUAGUUUAUCAGUAGAAAGUAAAGUAGUCUUUUUUUCCUUUGGGUGCUCAAACAGGGUCCAGGUUUAAGAAAAUUAGGCUGUGAGGUAUUUAUCUUCUCUGUUAUUUUUGAGUAAAUACAACCAAAGCUUUUGGAUCCUCUACAAAAGCGAUGUCUUUGGUGUUGGAGUCAGGGAUGAAUAUCUGUUUAUGUUUUUGAAGCAAACAGCUUCUGAUGAGAAGGGUGCGACAGAAUCAGAACUUGUCCCACUCGUGUAAAUCCUCCAUGUGACACAUCAUGACCUCUCAGAUCAACAGACGCGUCCGGUUUAUUGGAUGAAAGUCCUCAGAUCCAGUCCAUGUGGACCCACAGGAAGACGAAGGUCUUCUGGGCUGUAGUCUUUUAUUCCUCUUGCUAGAACUUUGGGUUCCUCUUUCUGCUUUUUAAGUUCACUUCACUGUUUAGCCACAAUCCGUGUUGUCAGGAGCAACUUCCCACACAUAUGAUCAGGUGUUUUCUUGAUAUUCUUCUAAGCGUGUCUCUGUUGCAGCCUGCGGACAGGCUGCUCCACCUCCACCGUGCUUGCUCUCCUCUGACGCGCCGAUCCUCUCUCGUUUAAGAUGUUCACUUCUCCUGAAGGAAAAGCCCUUUGAUCAGGUGUGUUUUUUUUUUCAUUUAUUCUCUUAAAUCGUCAGUUUGCUGUUUUAGGGAUCUUCGGACUUGUUUUGUCCUCGGUGAUGAGUGGAGCUGGCUCCGUGCGCAGUAACCGCGGCGCUCUCCUCCUCCUCCUGUCUCGGUGUCCUCGCUGUAGCCUUCUGUCUGCGUUUAAACACCAUCUGGAGCUCCUAACCUCUCUCUCUCUCUCUCGCUCUCUCUCUCGCUCUCUCUCUCGCUCUCUCUCUCGCUCUCUCUCUCUCUCUCUCUCGGGUACCAUCAGAAGGGAGAAGCUGGCAGCUAUGGCACAGGAAUCCUUUCUAGUAUUUAAAAUAAAUCCUAAAUAGGAAAUGUAAACCCUGCAUUAGUGCUCCCUUACAAUGUUUUGAAGCAACACAUUCUCACUCCCAGCGCGUCAAAAAUAAACGCUUGGUCGGCCACCCUCAACACAGAAGGUGAAUUUAAUCAACACAAUGUGGCUCCAAAUAUAAAAAAAGUACUUGCUGAACGUAUCCGAAUAACACGCAAUAAUUGUUCAACGAAACAUCUAAAAAACAUCACGUGUAUGGCCUGCAGCGCUUAUUCUAAAAACGAUGGCACCUUUUUAUUUCAGAAUAAAAGAGAAGAGCGAAAGUCAGCUCCCUUGCUAUGCCUCUGUCUGCCCGUAGGGGCCGCUGUUUCAUCAUAUCAGGACGGCCAGGAUAAGGACAGCAGCUCGUCCCACACACGUUAUUCACUUUAUUAACCACUUUUACAAUAGUUUUCUGAGAGGAGAAGUACCGAAAAGAGAAAAAAAGUGUUUGUUGGUAUUUGAACAUACAUGUGUAAAUAUUUUGAAGCCUGUAAAAUUAACAGCUUUAUCAGUGUCCAGAUGCCACAAGGAGUCAGGUUAGUGGACUCAUGAGAAGAUGGACAGAUGGGAGAUGUGUCUGUUAUCAACGACAAUAAUGUGCUGAAGCUAUCAACAUGCAUUAAGCUGCUGUCAUGUUUGUUUUUAGUGGACCAAAAUAUGAACAUUUUAUCAUCUAAGAUGUAGUUGACUGUUGUACUCUCUAAAUCUCAGCUUAAUAAAUGCGAAAAAUAAAAGAUGUAACAUAUAGUAUCAUAUCACAUAUAUAUAUAUC